GAGGGUAUAGCUCAAGUGGUAGAGUGCAUGCUUAGCAUGCACGAGGCCCUGGGUUCAAUCCCCAGUACCUUCU
Molecule: transfer RNA, 73 nt
Filed under: Camelus bactrianus (Bactrian camel)
Lineage: Eukaryota; Metazoa; Chordata; Mammalia; Artiodactyla; Camelidae
Also listed under: 2 other names
Rfam family: tRNA
About the family: Transfer RNA (tRNA) molecules are approximately 80 nucleotides in length. Their secondary structure includes four short double-helical elements and three loops (D, anti-codon, and T loops).
Source: Rfam by way of RNAcentral